Molecule: non-coding RNA, 2194 nt
Organism: Leptonychotes weddellii (Weddell seal)
Lineage: Eukaryota; Metazoa; Chordata; Mammalia; Carnivora; Phocidae
Source: RefSeq, a predicted model, not a curated record
UUCUAGCACAUUAACAAAAUAUCACAAAUAAAUUGUCGGCAGCCCCUGCGGCCUCGGGGUGCGGGUGCCCCCGACCACUGCCCCCCGAAGCCCCCGCGACGGCCUCCCAACCCUCCCCGUGGCCUUUGGAGCUUUCACGCUCUGGGGCCAAGUUUUUGUCUCUGUAAAAAAUUGCGGGAAAUUCAAUUUUUAUUCGACUCGGGGAAAAGUUUCUUUGCUCCGCGACGUGAAUGUCUCACCAGAUUCUGUCGGAGAAGAUGUCGGAGCCGGAGCCGCCGGUUGGCUGAAAGGCGCUUUCUCUGUGGAGGCCGACCGCGGGAGGGAGGGGGCCGGGGACGGCUCCGCGGAGGGAUCUGACGCACACGAAGCCGCAGCACAGGCUCUAUUCAGCGGCGCUGGCUGGGGCUGAGAUGGAAGUUAGUUUCUAUGUAGCAGAAAUGGGAAACAAAUGAAGCAAGACUGCCCAAAGAGGGGAAAUGCCUCGAGGAUGGGUCUCACUCACACGCGCGCACACAGACACACACGCAGAGCCCUCUCGCGCCGGGCAAACUCGGGAUCGCGCUACCCGGCCCGAGUUGAAUGAUAGUGUUUGGUUUCUGUCUCUUGCCAUGUGCAUGUGUAUAAAUGCUGCGGAUUGGCAUCUGUGUAAGUCUUGUCCUGCGUUAUUUCUGCAGCCUAUGCAAAGUGUUGUGUAAUUUAUUGGAGUGCCGUAUAUUGCAAUAGAGGUUCGGCUCUUUUUGUUAAGCACUUGGCGUUUGCAAGCCCGUUAUUUGCUGAAGCCACCUCUGCAUAUAUCUUUUAUUAUUGCCAUUGCCUUAAGCAUUUUACAUUUAAAGAUGUUUUUUUAUUGUUGUACGGGCAAAGCGAACUCCUGAUCUGUACUUCAGAUACUCUUUUUCCUGGUUACAAAAGGGCUAGUGAUGGCUAAUUAGGGAUUUGGGAUUAAAGAACCUUAAAGCUUUUUGAAGUGUUUACAAGAAGGAAUAACGUAAACCUGAGAGAAAGGAAAGAACGCUAAUAUUUAUCUCUAACUGAUCUGGAGGUAAUUUACUGACAGAUCAAUAACCCACCGAGGGAUAUUGAAAGAGUAUACUACAGUUUAGCCAAGGUGAUUAGUGAUUAAAUAAUUUAAAUUAUCUGUGUAUCUUACAGUUGACUUCGUCAUGCUAAUUAAUGGCUUCUAAUUUGAGGUGUAAACCAUUCUUGUUUACAGUUAAUCACGGGAAGACUUAUUGAAAACUGACGAAAAGAGAAAAAAUUAAUCUUUCGUAAAUUAGUAUGUAAUUACCGGUUUUAUAUGCUAAAUCAUACAUCUGUGUUUUGCUGAUGAGGGUAAGGGCCUUGUUUUUUAAAAAACGAAUAUGGGUGAAAUUAAUGGAAACAAUGGAAAAAGCCGUUUGUUAGAAAACAAGGACACCAAGUGAUAUUUAUCUCCAGAUGAUUUAAGCACUUUUCAAAAAGACUUGAUAGUUGAUUUUUUUUUUAAGGAUUGCAUUUUAAAAGGAAUUAGGAUAGUCGUUCUUUGUUAACAUUUAACAAAAGAUUCUCCUUUAAAAUUUUAGAUAAUAAACUGCAUUUUAUGUAUCUGGUCUAAAAAGGUUAUUUGUGGGUAAAGGACCAACAAGCUGUAUUAUGGCUUUCUAGAUUGUUUCCUCAAGCCUUGUUCCCUCCUAGCUCCUUACAUUACUAGUGAGAAAUACUUGCUGCAGCUGCCUCGGGUUGCACUGCAAGACUGCACCGGUGUGAUGCCCUAUACUAAAUAUCCAGAAAUCAUCCUACAUGUGAGGGAAAAAAAAAAAAAAAAAGCCUAAACCUCUUUGGAAUGAUAGGAUGUAAAAAUUGCCUUUUAGAACAAUCUUACUCACAAUAAAAAAGAGAAGUUACCAUGACUUGUCCUAUUGGAGCCUGGUUAUCAGAGUACUGUUAUUUAUUGAAAUGGCUAUCCUUCAAAUACUGAAAAUAUUUGCAUUUUUAAAGACAUUUAUUCCAUUCUAUCUAUUAUAGGUAAGUAGCUUGCUUCUGGAUAGUUAGGUUUGAAGGGCAGACAUUUAAUAUGCCUUUUUGCAAUUCUCUUUAUUUCUGUGACUGCUGCUUUCUAUUUUGACUUUUAAAAAAGUCUUAUAUUCUUCAAAUAAUUGUGGUAUUUUACAUUAUCAUGAUGUUCUUCAUAUAAACAGAUUAUAGGAACUAAAAA